RNAcentral lists this long non-coding RNA (2652 nucleotides) under Marmota monax (woodchuck). The record is from RNAcentral. Lineage: Eukaryota; Metazoa; Chordata; Mammalia; Rodentia; Sciuridae.
CAAGAUUCUCCCCCGCCCCCCAUCCCGCCCCGCAGACCGCAGAGGCCUCAGGGCUCGUGCCAGGUCCGCGGACAGUGGCAAGGGACAAGGGGAGCGAACCGCAGGAACCGCAGGAACCGCAGCCCCGCGGAUGUUGGUGAGGCUGCCUGGAGCUAAAUGCCAGGAAGGAAGGACGCGGGGGCGGGGACGAGGCCCGGGGCUACCUGCCCGAGCUGGUGCCGAUGCUGCCCCAGUAGGCGCGAUGGCUUCACGCCACCUCUGAACACGGAAAGCCCUCAGUAACCCGGUUUCCGACUCGACGCAGUCGGGGCCCCUCAGUAAGCCUGUCCGCCCAGCAAGCCGCGACAGGUGAUGUGGCGACUGGGCAGCGGGGCGUGCAGGUCAGCUGCCUACCUCAGGCGACGGCGUCUCUGAGCCUCCCACCUCCCUCCCAGCGGCGCGAGGACCCCGGGACCAGACUAGGAAGAGGCGUGCGAGGGAUCACGACACUGAGGUAGGGACAGGAAGAGGAACCGUCUGCUCUCCGGAGGGGCUGGCAAAGGGAAGGGAAGGACGCGGAGUGAGGGACCGUCAGGAACGUUCGCAUACCUUUUGCCUGGCUGCGGAUCCCACUGGUGCCAACAGAUCGCCUCACAUCCGGGUAUCCAGAGACACUCAGCUGCUUCUGCCGCGGCCGCCGCCUCCCCGCGGCGCAAACACCAAACUUCCGGCGACGACGGCUACGCCUCUCCCGUCAGAUGGGAGUUACCUGUGACCGUCUUGGGUGCGCUUGCGCAAAGGUCCUCUUCAGCUUUAACCAGCUCAGCUGACGUACCCAGAAGACGAAGAUGGCGGCCACGCUAGUUGCGUGUCACGCAAUUUUUCAUCCCUGCCCCGUCGGCUGGGCGUCGAGGAAAGGCGAGCCAGCGUCCAUCCUCAGCGCAGGCGCGGUGGGAAGCCUCGCGUGCGCGCCUCCGCGGGUGGGCGCCUGGCAGGGAGUGGUGGCGCCCCCUCGCGGCAGCCCCGCGUCCUUUCGGGCCCCCAAGGGUGUAGGUUUCCUUUGGAAAUGGGUUGCAACCGGUUCCUUGUAGGUUUCCAGUAUUUUUAUCUGCCAUUAUCUAGCCCCAAAGUCUUUGAUCUAACAUAGGGGCCAAUAUAAAGAAGCAGAGUGGGAUUAGCUACCUUUCUAUCUCCUUUUCCUGUACUGGACUUUAGCAGGUCUGGAAGGCACAGUUUCCAUCUUGUGCUUUAAAAUACAAGUCUAUAAGAAAUCAUAAAUUCUUGUACUACAUUUAUUCAGGACAGUUGUUCAGACAAAGCUUUGGCUCUUCGAAACCUCUAAAGAUAGAACCCAGGGUUGGUUUUGUCAGUAGGAUUUAUGUUUUCCACACUGCUUUUAAACACACUUUCUGAGCUACCUUUAUUUGCAGAGCUGUGAGAAUAGGUACUCAGAAUAGAAGAGAGGUGAUGAUGCAUGGGUUCUCCCCUUCCUGCCCUCCUUUUCUUGACGCCAAGUACAACCAAAAUGUGCUCUUAAGUUUAUCAAGCCUGAUGCUUUUCUGAAAAUACAUCUUCCACAAGGCUUUAGUGAGCUGCCUGGCUAUUAGUGGAGAGAUUCUAUGGAUUAAGCAUAAUGGUGGAGGCCAUUCCCCACAUUACCAUAGGUUACUGGGCAAAAUCCGGCCCAGUGUCCCGCAGCCCCUCCCCCACCCCGCCCCCUGCAGGCUUUAACGGCUGGUGCUUAAAUUGUGGGGGAAAAGAAGCUCAGGAGUAAACUGGGAAGGUUAGAGCUUGGUAUUUACCUGAUGAUCUGGUCUACAUUUUCCUUCAUCUUUAGAAUUGUCGGACAACUAAUGGAAUUUCUUUUUUGUUGUUGUUGUACCUUUUGCACAGGGGAUUGAACCCAGGGGCACUUUACCACCAACCCUUAAGUUCUUACAUACACACACACAGGCACACGCCAUUUUUACAAGCGUGCAUUCCCCCCAAAAUAGCAAAAAUAGGCAUUUGCUUCUAAGUGAUCUAUUCCACUGUUUCACUUUGUUGUAUUAGUCAAGAAACAUGGGAAUCCUGAUACAUAUGACAAUAUGAAAACAUAUGAAUUUAUUUUUGGUACAGAAGUAGUUGUAUAAUUCAUAUCUACAAUUUUAGAUUUUUUUUUCUAAAAUUAUAUACACUCCUUUUCCUUCUUUCUUUCAUUCUAUUUUUCUUCUUUUAAUUGCGGUACUGUGGAUUGAUUGAAGGACCUUGCAUGGAACUACAUCUUCAGCCCUUCUAAUUUUUUAACUCUUCUCAGUCUGGCCUCCAAUUUAUAAUCCUCCCACCUCACCCUCUCAACUGAAAUUUUACAAGCAUAAGCCACCACACCCAGCUAUAGUCAGUUUCAUGUGUGUACAGUGAAAAAAAAAUAGUUUGCUUUUGGAAAAAAAAAAUAAACUUUGACCAUUACUUUUUAUCAUUUUGAAGAAUAUUUUUCACUUCUGAUUUGUUAAUAUCAGAGGUCUCACUUCAUAGACUAAUUAAAUCUUAAUUAUUUUGUAACAUCUUAUUUAACAAAAUUUGUUCUGCCUUCUACCUAUGUUUUUCUUUUUAGAGCAGUCUGGUUUUUUUGUUUGUUUGUUUGUUUUGUUUGUUUGUUUUUCUUUUUCUUUUUUCUUUUGGUACCAGUGAUUG